GGAUGCGAUCAUACCAGCACUAAAGCACCGGAUCCCAUCAGAACUCCGAAGUUAAGCGUGCUUGGGCGAGAGUAGUAGAAGUCCUUGUGUUGCAUUCC
This 98-nucleotide ribosomal RNA is filed under the name Triticum dicoccoides. The record is from RNAcentral. Lineage: Eukaryota; Viridiplantae; Streptophyta; Magnoliopsida; Poales; Poaceae.